UGCAUAAAUUAUUCUUGGAUGUUCUAAUAUUUAUUUGUGUAGCUGAAGUUAGAGUUUUAUUGGUCCAAAUAGCAAUUUAAAGCCAAAAAUCAGAUUUUAUUUGAUAAACAAUGUCUAGAUGGGCCAAAUAGGCAAUUUUUACUCCCGCACCCCCAGAUUUCCCUACAUGCACCUCUCUUUUAAACCAGGCCAACAACCAAGCCAAAACACUAAGCCUUUUAUAUUCGUAACCCCUAAUUUCCUAUACACACCCCUCCUACCAUAGACUUCACCAGAUCACGCCACAUGUCCAAAUCCUCUGCGCACCAGAUAGACCAACCAGCACAUGCCACCUCAGCCCACUUGCCACGUCAUCACCACCUUCUCCAGAAACCCUAAUUUCGUAAACCCUAGUCGCCACCUUCGACCUAGCCGUCGGCCACCGUAAACGACGCACCAUCACCAGCGCCAUCCAUCAUAAAACCAUCACCGGACCACAAAGUCGCCGUCGACGAGCAACCCAGAAUCGCGGUUCAGCCUUCGUCGCGAGUCUUCUUCCUCGCAGACACCAUCCACCAUUUUCUUCUUCGCAAAGCUCUGUCAUCGCAGAACCAUCCACCGUCCACACCGUCAAGACCAUCACCGUGAGAAACCCAAAUCACAACCUGCAGAAAACCCAGAAACAUAGAAUCCGCACUAUCCCCACACGCAGAAACCCAGAUCCAAGAUCGCACCACCCUCCAUGGCCGCCACCUUCUUCCUCGACGUCGUCACCAUGCUGCAGUUCAGUAAGCCUCGCAAAAUCGAAUCAUCUCCCUCCGCCUCCACCUUCUUCGAAUCUGGAUCAUCUUCAUCACCAUAACCACCGAGAGCAAGCCGCCGGCAGCCACCAUCGAAUCGCACAUCAACGCCAUCUUCAACGCAAACCACCACCUGCACACAAAAAAACCAGCGCCAUCGAUCUUGAACCUGCAAAUCCAGAAACAGUGAGAAUUCCUAAUCACGUUUUCUAUGCAGCCAUGCCAACGAAACCAAGACUCCACCAGUAGCACCUCCAUGUUGUUCGAGUGCGGCGCUAAAGACAUCCUUUCCCCCAAUCUGAAACCUAAUUUAGGUGGGGAAGAGGCUGACACGUGUCAAGAUCAUAUUGGAGCCUCAUUUUUUUGAGUCAAAGCUGGUCAACAGGGGGCAAUGUGCAAUUUCAGAAAUUAAAAAGGGGUUUAAGUGCUGAUAGAGGAAAUAUCAGGGUAUUUGUGCAAUUAUGGAAAGUCAGAAAAGCUAAAAGAUAAAUUCAGUUGUUGAGUUAAUUUAAUUUGGGAAUAUCAACAGAAAAUAUCUUCCAAAUAAUAUUAUAAUUAUCUAAAGAUUCUAUCAACUGAAUAUUUAGAGUUCAAGCCCAACCAAGCCUAUAUAAAGAGACCCAGGGGCGACAGAAAGGACACGAUUCAUUCAUCCAAUCAUCCACCACUGCUUUCACUUUCAUUAUGUGUUUCUAAGCUCCUAGGGCUAUUCUGCUGUAAUUUCAUUAUGGAUUCUAAGGUUAAGUGAAUUAAUGCAAUUGUUUAUUUUGAUUAUUGAUUUAAGUUUAUCUC
This 1571-nucleotide long non-coding RNA is filed under the name Vigna radiata. Its description in RNAcentral is "long non-coding RNA (VRAD_LNC013151)". The record is from RNAcentral. Lineage: Eukaryota; Viridiplantae; Streptophyta; Magnoliopsida; Fabales; Fabaceae.